UACGUAGGGGGCAAGCGUUGUCCGGAUUUAUUGGGCGUAAAGCGCGCGCAGGCGGUCUACCAAGUUCGGAGUGACAGUUUCCGGCUUAACCGGAAAAGGUCUUCGAAAACUGGUGGACUUGAGGACUUGAGGGGGAGACGGAAUUCCGGGUGGAGCGGUGAAAUGCGUAGAGAUCCGGAGGAACACCGACGGCGUAGGCAGCGCCCUGGCUGUGAAUAAAGCUGACACUGAGGCACGAAAGCUGGGGGAGCAAACAGG
RNAcentral lists this ribosomal RNA (258 nucleotides) under uncultured bacterium. Its description in RNAcentral is "partial 16S ribosomal RNA". It matches the Rfam family "Bacterial small subunit ribosomal RNA", at positions 524 to 776 of the family's 1533-position model. The record is from RNAcentral.